GAUGAACGCUAGCUACAGGCUUAACACAUGCAAGUCGAGGGGCAGCAUGGUCUUAGCUUGCUAAGGCCGAUGGCGACCGGCGCACGGGUGAGUAACACGUAUCCAACCUGCCGUCUACUCUUGGACAGCCUUCUGAAAGGAAGAUUAAUACAAGAUGGCAUCAUGAGUCCGCAUGUUCACAUGAUUAAAGGUAUUCCGGUAGACGAUGGGGAUGCGUUCCAUUAGAUAGUAGGCGGGGUAACGGCCCACCUAGUCUUCGAUGGAUAGGGGUUCUGAGAGGAAGGUCCCCCACAUUGGAACUGAGACACGGUCCAAACUCCUACGGGAGGCAGCAGUGAGGAAUAUUGGUCAAUGGGCGAGAGCCUGAACCAGCCAAGUAGCGUGAAGGAUGACUGCCCUAUGGGUUGUAAACUUCUUUUAUAAAGGAAUAAAGUCGGGUAUGGAUACCCGUU
RNAcentral lists this ribosomal RNA (452 nucleotides) under uncultured Bacteroides sp. RNAcentral's name for it is "bacterial SSU rRNA". It matches the Rfam family "Bacterial small subunit ribosomal RNA", at positions 28 to 469 of the family's 1533-position model. The record is from RNAcentral. Lineage: Bacteria; Pseudomonadati; Bacteroidota; Bacteroidia; Bacteroidales; Bacteroidaceae.